GGUUAAGCGACUAAGCGUACACGGUGGAUGCCCUGGCAGUCAGAGGCGAUGAAGGACGUGCUAAUCUGCGAUAAGCGUCGGUGAGGUGAUAUGAACCGUUAUAACCGGCGAUUUCCGAAUGGGGAAACCCAGUGUGUUUCGACACACUAUCAUUAACUGAAUCCAUAGGUUAAUGAGGCGAACCGGGGGAACUGAAACAUCUAAGUACCCCGAGGAAAAGAAAUCAACCGAGAUUCCCCCAGUAGCGGCGAGCGAACGGGGAGGAGCCCAGAGCCUGAAUCAGUGUGUGUGUUAGUGGAAGCGUCUGGAAAGGCGUGCGAUACAGGGUGACAGCCCCGUACACAAAAAUGCACAUAUUGUGAGCUCGAUGAGUAGGGCGGGACACGUGGUAUCCUGUCUGAAUAUGGGGGGACCAUCCUCCAAGGCUAAAUACUCCUGACUGACCGAUAGUGAACCAGUACCGUGAGGGAAAGGCGAAAAGAACCCCGGCGAGGGGAGUGAAAAAGAACCUGAAACCGUGUACGUACAAGCAGUGGGAGCCUCUUAAUGGGGUGACUGCGUACCUUUUGUAUAAUGGGUCAGCGACUUAUAUUCUGUAGCAAGGUUAACCGAAUAGGGGAGCCGAAGGGAAACCGAGUCUUAACUGGGCGUUAAGUUGCAGGGUAUAGACCCGAAACCCGGUGAUCUAGCCAUGGGCAGGUUGAAGGUUGGGUAACACUAACUGGAGGACCGAACCGACUAAUGUUGAAAAAUUAGCGGAUGACUUGUGGCUGGGGGUGAAAGGCCAAUCAAACCGGGAGAUAGCUGGUUCUCCCCGAAAGCUAUUUAGGUAGCGCCUCGUGAAUUCAUCUCCGGGGGUAGAGCACUGUUUCGGCAAGGGGGUCAUCCCGACUUACCAACCCGAUGCAAACUGCGAAUACCGGAGAAUGUUAUCACGGGAGACACACGGCGGGUGCUAACGUCCGUCGUGAAGAGGGAAACAACCCAGACCGCCAGCUAAGGUCCCAAAGUCAUGGUUAAGUGGGAAACGAUGUGGGAAGGCCCAGACAGCCAGGAUGUUGGCUUAGAAGCAGCCAUCAUUUAAAGAAAGCGUAAUAGCUCACUGGUCGAGUCGGCCUGCGCGGAAGAUGUAACGGGGCUAAACCAUGCACCGAAGCUGCGGCAGCGACACUAUGUGUUGUUGGGUAGGGGAGCGUUCUGUAAGCCUGUGAAGGUGGCCUGUGAGGGUUGCUGGAGGUAUCAGAAGUGCGAAUGCUGACAUAAGUAACGAUAAAGCGGGUGAAAAGCCCGCUCGCCGGAAGACCAAGGGUUCCUGUCCAACGUUAAUCGGGGCAGGGUGAGUCGACCCCUAAGGCGAGGCCGAAAGGCGUAGUCGAUGGGAAACAGGUUAAUAUUCCUGUACUUGGUGUUACUGCGAAGGGGGGACGGAGAAGGCUAUGUUGGCCGGGCGACGGUUGUCCCGGUUUAAGCGUGUAGGCUGGUUUUCCAGGCAAAUCCGGAAAACCAAGGCUGAGGCGUGAUGACGAGGCACUACGGUGCUGAAGCGACAAAUGCCCUGCUUCCAGGAAAAGCCUCUAAGCAUCAGGUAACAUCAAAUCGUACCCCAAACCGACACAGGUGGUCAGGUAGAGAAUACCAAGGCGCUUGAGAGAACUCGGGUGAAGGAACUAGGCAAAAUGGUGCCGUAACUUCGGGAGAAGGCACGCUGAUAUGUAGGUGAAGCGACUUGCUCGUGGAGCUGAAAUCAGUCGAAGAUACCAGCUGGCUGCAACUGUUUAUUAAAAACACAGCACUGUGCAAACACGAAAGUGGACGUAUACGGUGUGACGCCUGCCCGGUGCCGGAAGGUUAAUUGAUGGGGUUAGCGGUAACGCGAAGCUCUUGAUCGAAGCCCCGGUAAACGGCGGCCGUAACUAUAACGGUCCUAAGGUAGCGAAAUUCCUUGUCGGGUAAGUUCCGACCUGCACGAAUGGCGUAAUGAUGGCCAGGCUGUCUCCACCCGAGACUCAGUGAAAUUGAACUCGCUGUGAAGAUGCAGUGUACCCGCGGCAAGACGGAAAGACCCCGUGAACCUUUACUAUAGCUUGACACUGAACAUUGAGCCUUGAUGUGUAGGAUAGGUGGGAGGCUUUGAAGUGUGGACGCCAGUCUGCAUGGAGCCGACCUUGAAAUACCACCCUUUAAUGUUUGAUGUUCUAACGUUGGCCCGUAAUCCGGGUUGCGGACAGUGUCUGGUGGGUAGUUUGACUGGGGCGGUCUCCUCCUAAAGAGUAACGGAGGAGCACGAAGGUUGGCUAAUCCUGGUCGGACAUCAGGAGGUUAGUGCAAUGGCAUAAGCCAGCUUGACUGCGAGCGUGACGGCGCGAGCAGGUGCGAAAGCAGGUCAUAGUGAUCCGGUGGUUCUGAAUGGAAGGGCCAUCGCUCAACGGAUAAAAGGUACUCCGGGGAUAACAGGCUGAUACCGCCCAAGAGUUCAUAUCGACGGCGGUGUUUGGCACCUCGAUGUCGGCUCAUCACAUCCUGGGGCUGAAGUAGGUCCCAAGGGUAUGGCUGUUCGCCAUUUAAAGUGGUACGCGAGCUGGGUUUAGAACGUCGUGAGACAGUUCGGUCCCUAUCUGCCGUGGGCGCUGGAGAACUGAGGGGGGCUGCUCCUAGUACGAGAGGACCGGAGUGGACGCAUCACUGGUGUUCGGGUUGUCAUGCCAAUGGCACUGCCCGGUAGCUAAAUGCGGAAGAGAUAAGUGCUGAAAGCAUCUAAGCACGAAACUUGC
RNAcentral lists this ribosomal RNA (2771 nucleotides) under Escherichia coli. RNAcentral's name for it is "partial 23S ribosomal RNA". It matches the Rfam family "Bacterial large subunit ribosomal RNA". Lineage: Bacteria; Pseudomonadati; Pseudomonadota; Gammaproteobacteria; Enterobacterales; Enterobacteriaceae. The record is from RNAcentral.